AGCUUUGCACAGUGUCAGUAUCAUAGCCAAUGUGGUUUAUCCGAGGCGCGAUUAUUGCUAGUUGAAAACUUCCCUAAGCAACGUUUGGCAAUGUAGAAGAGGCCAUAUUGCUUCACAAUACAUUGUACCUUCUUUGUCAUAUCCUUCUUUGGAACACAUUUUCAUUU
This is a small nuclear RNA of 167 nucleotides. Its record names the gene U4. It matches the Rfam family "U4 spliceosomal RNA". Rfam says of the family: U4 small nuclear RNA (U4 snRNA) is a component of the major U2-dependent spliceosome. The structure of U4 snRNA from yeast and human has been reported. U4 snRNA presents a k-turn RNA motif in the 5p-SL related to recognition of Snu13 protein. The record is from Ensembl.